AACGAGGGCUUCGUAGCAGUGUCCGUCUUAACUAGGCUGUAAAGGGAGAGUAGGCGGUUCCAUAGUUAGUCUCAAAAUAAGCACUAAAAUUUGACUAAAGUUUCUUUGGUAACUCAGAGGAUAGUGGAUGAUAAUGGUUACGUUCAAAGGAGCAGUGUAAAUGCCGUGAGAGUGAAAGGACCACCAAAUAGCGAUUGCAAUUAUCAACACUUUUUUUAUUUAAACCUUGACGCUGACGCUCUGAAAGUGUGGGGAGCAAACCGG
RNAcentral lists this ribosomal RNA (264 nucleotides) under uncultured bacterium. RNAcentral describes it as "partial 16S ribosomal RNA". The record is from RNAcentral.